Molecule: ribosomal RNA, 484 nt
Filed under: uncultured bacterium
Lineage: Bacteria
Description: bacterial SSU rRNA
Rfam family: Bacterial small subunit ribosomal RNA
Source: RNAcentral
AAACUUAAAGGAAUUGACGGGGACCCGCACAAGCAGCGGAGCGUGUGGUUUAAUUCGUUGCUACACGAAGAACCUUACCUGGGUUUGACAUAUAGGUUGUAGGGAACUGAAAGGGACCGACCCUUCGGGGAGCCUAUACAGGUGGUGCAUGGCUGUCGUCAGCUCGUGUCGUGAGAUGUUGGGUUAAGUCCCGCAACGAGCGCAACCCUUACCCUUAGUUGUUUUCCCGAAAGGAUUACCCUCUAAGGGGACUGCCCCGGACAACGGGGAGGAAGGUGGGGAUGACGUCAAGUCCGCAUGCUCCUUACGUCUAGGGCUACACACGUCCUACAAUGGGGUCGACAGUGGGAUGCAAAGCCGCGAGGUGGAGCCAAUCCCCAAACGGCCUCUCAGUUCGGAUAGUAGUCUGCAACUCGACUACUUGAAGUCGGAAUCGCUAGUAAUGGCGGAUCAGCAUGCCGCCGUGAAUACGUUCCCGGGUCUU